ACGUGAGUAAACGCUGUGCAGGGAGAGAGAGGAGGGAGAGCCACAGCCACACUGCCAUCUCAGAGCCACAGCCAGGAGAUGGACUGACAGAUUGCAAAUUAAAAUAGUCCUAAUGUAAGAAUGAAUGCAGCCCCCCCCAAAUCUCUCCGAGCACCAGCCCGUUAGUGAUAAGCCCGGCACGGAGGGAGCGUUGCUGCGGCUGGGCUGGUCCUGCGCCCGGAGAAAGGCUAGGGAGGGACAAUAAAGCCAGUCCCGGGCAGAGAAAAUCACAAGAACAAGAUAAAUUGAGAAGUUGGAGAUGAUGUCUGCAGAAGGGACUGGGCAGAUACGGAGGUACCCGAGGGAGAGCUUGGCGUUCCUCUGGAUGGAGCAGAGGUUCCUUGUGCAGGCAAAGGGCAGGCUGGGAUCUGGAGCUGCGUCCCCCAGCCGGGAUGAGGACAGGUCGACUGAACUGUUGGUAUCCGCUGGAAAACAAGGCUGCCCAGCUGCUUUCCCACACGUUUUCCGUUUCCUUCAUUGAGGAAAACAGGGGUGCUUACUAAUCCCACAGAUGUAAAACUGUUUGAAGAGUAAAAGGUUUGAAGUCAACUCAGGCUGCUGAACAUCCAAAAAGAGAAAGACCCACCAUACAAAUCAAUUUUUUGCCCUUGGGAAUGCAGUUAUCAGCAACAACAACAAUAACAAAAUGCUUCUCCUCAAGUUUAAAUCCCAGCAAACAGAAACAACAGUGAAAUUUAAGCUACAAGCACCAAGGCAUUGUGGAGACCAGCAGCGUUACAGACCUGCUCGAGGAGCUCAGCGGGAGAAGAGCCAGCGCCGCAAUGACGAUGCGAGUGGUUUGAACAGAGGUCUGUGGUGGUCUGUCUCAUUGGAAACUUCUGUGCUCAAACCAGGAGGAUGCUAUAGAUGGAACUAAUCUUCCACAGAUAUGCCAUGUGCUCUUGAGGGGGAAUAUUUGUCUCUGUCUCCACGAAAAUCGUCACAGCCCAGCUCCUUAGGCUAUGUAUAACCAUCGUAAUUUUGGAUGUGACCAAGAGUCCUGGGAACUGAAGGGCCCAUGGGUCCUUGGGAGAGUGGUAAAACGUUGAGAGAAUUGGUCACCGGAGGGAUCAAGAAAGAUGGAGAAAGGUCCAGGCAAGAAAAGCACGGCCCAAGUUGAUGGAUACACUGGUUUCACGUGAUGGGAUGAAGAACAUCAACUUGUAAAGAAGAACCGGUGCUGAAGAUGAAGGGUCGUCGCAUCCAGAGUCAGCCAGCCCUGGAUGAUUUCAGGAGUAAUUAUGAAGUUGAAUCUGGGAGGUGCUGGAGAGGGAACAGCAAAGUCACCAGAGAAAGGCAGCAGAGGAACUUGACAACAAACUCUAGCGAGAAAACACAGUGCCAUGAAGGGGGAGGACGCUCGGGCACCUGUUGUGACAGCUGUGACUAAGCAUACAAUGACCAGAUCAGGGUGAAUAACGAGAGAAUCUGCUCAUUUAAGAGUGUAUAUACAAACCCAGCAGGGACGUGAAACUGUUUUGCUUUGUUUUACUGAUAAUGUGUUAUUGGAGUCAUGUCUCUGACUGUGUCCUAGAGUGGGUUCAAAACAAUUACUUAUAUAACACAGGAUAUAUUUAAGUCAGGGAGGAGUGGGGAGGGAGAAAUAUGUGUAUCUCAAUUUCUGGUUCAUAAGCAAAAUGAAAUUAUGUUUUUCUGAAUAGAUUUAUUGAUUUCUGUUUUUCCAACACAGGGAUAUACAUCUCAAGGGCUGGAUGCCCCUUGUAAAAUCUGAACUGCAAAAUAAUUGGUGAAUCAGAUUAAAUCCUGUAUACAUCUCUUGCCAGCUGCUGGUUCAUACCCUAACCUGAACUGCAUUAGUCUAAAAAGUAAACUCCUUUAAAAUAAGCUCAGUCGGUGUCGUGUCCGGAAGUUGGAGCCCAUCUCUGGAUGGCUCCAGCCUGGUCCAUGGUGGCCGGGGCUCGCUGCUGGCCAGGGCAGACAGGCAGUCUCUGGUGCAGCCCCUGGCAUGCCUUCUUCUUGUAAUGCUCUGCUUUAGAAGUAGGCAGGCAUCUUCUGGAUCGGCUUUGGGGUUAAAGAGCCUGAUUUUGAAGUGGCAAAUGCACAGCUCUAGCAAAAUUUCAUCCGUAUGUGAAAGAAAAUUGCAUUUGCUGCUCACUUGCAGAGCGGAGUAAUAUGCAGGACAACAUCAGGGAAAACAAAAGGAAAAAUAAAACUCAGCAGAGCAGUUCUUUGGGCACCAAGAAAUAGCACGGUCUGAUGCGACUGCCCGCACUGCAAACCUGAUUCACAACUAAUGGCAUUCUAUGCAAGGAUAACCACUGCUACUUUCAUUUAAAAUGAAAACCAUAUUGAGAAACUUCGAAUACGAAGACAAGAUUUGUGGAAUGUAAAUACCUGGUGGGUGCAGCCAACCAGCACAAAAUAUAUUUAGAGGGAGCUGGAGCUCAGUCCCUACUAGAGCGCACCGUGCUUACAGAUCAUCGUGUACCAGGAAUAAAUUACAGCAGGGUUUGUCAACUAAUUUGGUGGAGAUUUCAAAUCUGUGCCUUCGUUGAUUUUGACACCGUGCAACGAUGUAUCCGAGCUUUCAGAUGUCUGGCUCUUAGAGUUGUGAAAUGAUAAAACAAACAAACCCAACAGUUCCAGCCUUGUCAAUCUAGUUCUCGGUGGACAGAUGCCCCGGCACUAGAAAAGCAUCAUCCCUUGCGAUACCUCUUGACAGUGUCUAAAAAAAGCCAGAGAUCUUCUGGACGCAAAAGUAAGACUGGCUUCUCAUCUCAAAAGAAAUCGUGUUCGUGUCCACGCUGAAGCUUCUGGGUAAGGCUGCGUGGGGAACCGAGCGUAACCUCUGCGCCUGCUGUGCCUCGUUUGUGCAUGAGUAAGUGAUUUCUGGUCUCUCAGAUAAUCAAUCUAAUCUGCUUCCGGAGCAAGUUGCCUCUGGACGGUGAUGGAUUAAUGGGUGAAGGUCCAGGUUUGUGCAUUGAGGUUUCUGGAAUGAGCCGGGUUCCUUGUUAGAGUGUGUGGACUGCAUCAUUAAUUAAUUAAAUGGUAUCAUUAACUAUGGAUUUAAAUAUUUUAUUGGAUGCUUAUCCAGUGGGAAUUGACUAAACUUUCUAAGAAAAUGGGAGGUUUUGGGUUUACGUUGGCACACCGGCAGGGACAGCCCUGUCCCGCCGGUAUAUGGCCGUGCUCUUGUACCCUUGAAGGCCGCUGCUGGAGGUGCAGCACAGGUCUUCUCUCAAGCAAAGCAGGGGAGGGGGAGGAGGCUUCAGGCUGGUCUCCUGCCCACAUAGUCAGUCCAAGUUCAGCUGAGCACCUGGGGACGUGCAGAGCUCCAACACAGCCCAGCCCGGUGGGGCAGAACCUGCCACGGAGCACAGCAUCAUCCUGAAAGUCUUGCGAGAUGGGUUUAAAAACAUGCAGAACCCGCUGAAUUCAUCGUCCGGACAACCGGCUACGACUGAGAAAAGCGGUGAAUAGUUUUGGUACAGAUGAGGUUUUCUUUUGGCUAAUGAUUUGUUUUUCAUGUCACACAUGGUAUCAUGAGAAGUUGCAGCAUUCGGACAUUUUUAAUGACUUCGUGUUGCUUGCAUAUUAGUAGGAAUAUUUCCACUGCAGCAAACACCAUAAACAGUUUCCACACCGGGGUAUGUUAUACUGCCACCAGAAUUGGUUCUUCUGAUGGUUCAUUUCUUUUAUGCUGAGAAUUCAGGACCAAUUCAGCUUGGUUUUAUGCAUCAUUAGAGAUUUACAAUUACUUUGCUAUAGUUUCUUUCUGGAAGCCUAUCUCUCAUGGUUAAUGCUAUGGGAGCCCUGUUGUGUAGAGGCUGGUAUUAGCCACCUUAUAGCAAUAAAGCGUUUGAGAAGGAUUUAGAAUUAUGAGUGGCUAAAUUCUCUGUGCAGCGACUGUAAUACUGUUAUCCCUUGCUGAGCUUGGGUUGAAACGUUUUUGGUUUUUUUUUUUUAUUCUCCUCGAAUUAGAAAAAAAUGUUGUUUCUUCAAGAGGUUUUGAAUCAUUUACAUCUAAUUUUUUGUUGAACUGCUGCAGUCAGAAAUGAGGAAUUGUGAGAAAUUCCAUUUGGAUUUCAUGAUGCUUAAAAUACAUUUAGACUGUAUUAGUAUAUAAUGAAAAGAAGGCCUCCUCAUUUUUUAUAUCACUUUUUAAAAGUGUAAUCAUUAUUUGGGACUUUCUUUUGAUAUUUAGAUUUUACUUGUGUUGCUGGAGUCAAUAAAUUUCACAAGCUUUGCCUUUGGACAACAAGCAAUGGAUCUGUAUGUGUAAUAAUCCACAUAAUUCAUGGUUUAGAUAAAUGUACUAUUGCACUGAAACAAACAUGAUACGCAGGCCUGAUCUAAAGGCCAUUAAAAUCAAUGAAAAGAGUUCAAAUUAACUUUUACAGCCUUUAGAUCAGGCUCUAAAUGGGCAAAUUACAGUUAUGGAGUUUCCCAUUUACAUACCUGUGUGCUGCAUUUAAUAUAUUUUAUGGAAUUGAAAUUACUUGGUACUCUUUUUCAUGCUUUUUUAGGAUAAGAAUUUGCCAAGGGGAUCAACAGCAGUUUUCCCAGGCUUCAGCACAAGGAUUAUAUAGUCAAUCCACAAAUGACUCAAAUCUUUGGGGAAAAAAAAAAAAAGGGGACAUGGUUAUCAGAGAGGCUUUGAGGACAGCAAGGACGGGAGCGCUAUCUGGCUUAUUCCAUCAGAGAUUCUCCUUCCCUCUCAUUAACAUACUCAGGACAUCAGCACCGGCCAUCGGUCCCCGGGGAAUCGUGUCAAACUUUUAAGGGAAUGCGCCCAAGACCUCAGCCCUGCGUUAUUUCGAAUAGAUCACAUCAGAUUUGUCUUGUGUGAGGUUAGAGGAAAGACUAGGGCACGGUAGCGUAAGGGGAGAGAUUCAAAGGUUGCGGGGAAUUUUCAAAUCCGUUGUUAUAACUCGGUAAUCUUUCUUCUUUUACAGGGUUCUUCAAUCCCACCGAGGAUGCACAGAGCUGAUCUCUACGUCUGUGAUAUCUGCUGCCGCUCUCCUGACUUUCAGACCGCUCUGGGACAAAUUCACGCAGCCUUCAUCACGGGGAGUGAUGUACAGAGCUGGGGAAGGCAGGUGAAGAAGGACACUUAGUGCUCAAGAGUGACUGUCGGUCCCCUCGCCCUUUGGAAGGAACCGUUUGCUCUGCAGCACCGGGUUUUGUUUUUUUUUUUCUGCACAAGGUGUUGCCAGAUAACUCCUAAACGAAUUACGCUAAAGCUGCAGCCACGUUUUUUUUUGUGUCUUCCGCGUGUCCAGGGUGAUUCGGCAGUGUCGUAAGUAGUGCUAUGAGUUUCAGGUAUUUUGUCAAUUUAAACCAUAUUGUUUGGGCCAGUCUUUCAUCAAACUGCACAUGUCGACUAUUGCAUUAACGCAUUUUGAGAGCACUUCAUUCUGGUGUUUAAGAGGGAAGAGGCUGGUGGCUGAGGACGUGGUUAGAUGCUGACUUUGUGCCCGCAGCACAGUCACGAGGCUUUGUAAAGGUGCACGUCUUCUUCUACCUGACCCCGAGGCAGGUGACGCCAGAGCAGCAGCGACCACGUACGUGCAACUGAACGCACCCCUCUAGCACAGCACCUUAAUACAGCGUACGGGGUGAGGUGGGUGCCUACCUGAAAGAAAAAUAAACCUCAUGAAAAAGUGACAUUAUUUCUUGGAAUGAGAAAGAUUGGAGAGUGUAUCUGCUUGGCUUUAAUGGAGCAGUUCCAGGAAAGCAGCAGCGACCAAAGUGUUUUCAGUGUCACAUAAUUCAAGAGAAAAAUCAUAAUUCCAAUUACCAUUUCAGCCGUUUCUGGCCUUGGGAAACCUAUGCUAAUAUUUAUUAUUAUAUGAUUGACCUAUGAUUUCUUCAUCAUUUACAUUAGCAACUAUGAUAUUCAUAGUAACAUCCUUUAAAUCAUAUAAGCAGAUGUCAACAGUGCAUGAUGAAGUCACAUCCUGCAGAUUUUUUAUUUACUUAGUCCAUUUUUUUUUUUUCUGGUAAAAUAACAUUGUGAGACGCAUAAUCUCACCUCCACGAGGCCUCUAGGGGCAUAUAUAAUCACAGAAUGCAUUUUCUAUAAUCUCACAAAAUGAGUCAAUUCCAUCUGAGGUACAAACAGUUAUACAAAGUCAGUAUUUCACUUCCAUCACUGCCUGACAUCAUCUUCCACACGGUGCAAGAAAACAUUUACUUACCUCUUUGACAUGAAUUGCCACAAAGCCUCUGGAACAAAAAAAUUGGGGAAAGCGAGGAAUUAAAAUGGAAUAACUUGACUUAAAGAAUUUAGCCCCUUUUCUGGGUGCAGGAUUUAGAUUUCUAGCUUUGUCAGAUGCUUUCUUAUAAUGUCCGGACUGGCCAUAGACGCCUCUAAUCUCUGUUCUUCAGUGGAAUCCCUAUGCACAAAUCAAUCAGAGAAUUGCCCGGAAUAUCCAAAGCUGGAAGCUGAUCUUCUUUCUUAAUCAUCUAAAUAUUUUCUUUGCACACGUGAGCAUUUCUGUGUGUGAAUUAAAUGCUGCCUUUAUUUCCCAGGCAGCUUCCCGAGGCGUGUUGUUUCUGACGCUUUUCCGUGCAAAGCGCAGCAGAGCAGGCUUUUCCUGAAGUUAAAUUCUUCUGAAUUUACAUUGCCUUAACGGGUUUAAGCAGGUGGCAGGUUUAGGAUGUUUCAGAGAGUUUUCGGAUCAUUUGGAGCAAAUUUUUGGGGUUCAUGGGCGUUAUAGGACCUGUCAGGCAGGUGGACUCUUCCCUACUCUCUGGGCAUGUAGCCCUGGAAACGCCGUCUCGUUUCUAGAUGUAUGGCGAGGUAAAAAGCUCAGAAUAGUCCUAGAUCACCUUUCUGAAGACUGGUGGUGUAUCACGUCUAUUAACGGUUCCUGUAACGGUGCAGGUUACAGACAUGGGACCAACCACCUGCAGUGAACCUCCUCAGGCAAAAUUCUCCUCUGCUUCAAUCGUGGUUUUUUCUGGAGAAGAGACCGCUGGCUGCACCCAGGGCGAUCCGCCGGUUCCUGGCUUAAGAGGCACUUAUAAUCUACUGCUAAGAGACUGAUUAGCAAUGUACAAAUGAAUUUGAAGCAAGAGAAGCAUUCUUCCUAGAAGAAAUAUAUUUUUUUUUUUGUAAAAUUAGUUUUGCUGACAGAAGUAAUUGGGCUAACUUCUUGUGACUAUGGAUGUUAUUUGUCGCCCCUUAUCUUACCAAAGCAAAGGGUGCCAAAUACUUUGAACUUUGUAAAUAAUUGUUUCCAAAGUGUGGGGGUUUUUUAAUUUUCUCUAUAUAAAUUCUUUAGAGAAAAGCUGGCUUCUAAUCCUUUCUCUUCCAAAGCUUUUACAGCUCAGCUUCUUCCCACUCUAGAUAUCUUUUAUUUUCCCUCUUUUGGUUUUAAUAUGUCUUAGAUAUUAUAUAAGUCUCUUUUAAGGGUAAAUCUAGAGCUUUCGCUCAGAUUGGAAAAGUCAUUCCUAAAGCUUUAAUAGAUUGAAGAGAGAGAGAGAGGAAAAAAAACCCCAAAUUAACUUUAUUUUGAACUGCCACAGAUUCUGGGGCUGUGGCGUGGAGACGAGCAUGCGAGCGCCUGACUGGUGCCCGGAGCAGGGGUCCUGGCCAUCGGUCUGGGUGUUUUUUCUUGCUCCAGAUACCCGGCUGGUGCAAAUGGCUGGUGGAGGGGUUGGUCCCUCACCGGUGGUUCAUUCCUUCUGGGCUGGACAGGAGCCGGGAGCUGCUCUGCCCGCUCUGUCCCACCGCACUGGUGCUCGCUAUCCCCUCCCGUGCCCAGGAGAGGGGCACGGUUUUCUUGCAAACACAAUUUUUCUUGGUUUUAGUUCGCUUUUGCAACCACAGCAACAAAUUUUAACCCAGAAAUGGGACAGAAAGCUCUCCCAGAGUGUGCGUUAUUGAAGCAGUGUCAGAAGCCGGCAGGAAAUCCACAGCUAUUAUUUGCAUAAAAAGAAGCAAACUUGCGGAUGUGGAAAAACUGAAAUGCUGGAAAAGCAAGACAUGACUUACUCCAUCAUCCUGGAAAGUUGAAUGUGAAUGUUCUUACUUAUCUGUCUAUCUGCUAUCUAUCUAUCUGUCUAUCUAUCUGUUUACUGAUUUGGACAAAAGACAUAAAUGAUGAGAAAGGUACGUCUCUAACCGGAGCAGUUACCUCGCCUUGGGUUCUCAGAGGUGACAGGGAUGCGUACGGUUUGGGUAGACGUGGAUAGCCCAGAAAAAUAAAUGACAGUUUGACAUGCUUGCAUUGCCACCGGAGCAGGGCUGGGUGUUAAAUCCCGGUUUUCAGCCUAAGACAGCAACCUAAACCAGGGAGCAGCAAAGCCCGGGCAUCCGUGGGGAACUUCUGGAGUCGCAGGAGCUUCUUAGCAGAUUCCAAAGGAAGGAUCUGUGUUGAGACACCUUGUUGAAUCAGUCUCAGACCCAGCACAGAAACACCUCAUGGCCAGCGUAGGGCUCCUCAGCCCUUCGUCUGGUCAAGAUCCAGCUGCUGUUGAGGGAUGCUCACUUGAUGUCUCGUGUUUGUGUUGUGGUGCUAUUCCCCAGCUGUCUUCCAACGCCAAGGGGGAACGUAGUUCCUGUUAAUCCCAGCUGUGAGACUUACUUCUUGAGUCUCCAAGUAAGAACUUGAUGGUAGGAGACUCCCGCUAAGACUGAUCUUUCCUCCUUCCCCUCCUCCAAAGCCAGCGGUUUCAGGUCUUAGAUGCCACCAGCAGCUCCCCAGGCACUCAGUUGGUGGUUUGCUCCCUGACCCAGCUGAAGUGGGAAGGAAUUUAAAAUUCCCAGUAUUUUUUUUCCUUUAAAAAAAAAAAAGUUUAUGAUUUUUAAGAAGGCACCUUAGAGCAGAGCCCAAAUGGGAAUGUUUGCAUUUGAUACCAUCCAUCAACGUCGAGACACCAAGGGAGCGGCUCCUCCGGCUCCUUGCAUCGCGGUGGACAGAAGGAGCUGUCAGGGAGCCGCGUGCGGCCGCCGCAUCGAGCCGGGCGGGAGCCGUGCUGGCAGAGAUCCCUUCCACAGAGGGGAUUUCUGCACUGACAAUUUUUGGCUCCUUUAGGUUACUUUGGAGCUGCGCAGAAUUUGUAAUGUUCUGCACUCGCGGAGGGGCUGACAGGGAGCUUAAAUACAGAUUGCAAAGAUAGAUCAUCUCCCAACAUCACUUUGUUUUCUGCUGCUCUAAAAUCAUUUUACUUGUUCCUGCAGCUCCUAUAAAGCCAGAAGAGCUCUCUAUAUUUGCUUCCCGGAUGCCUUUUUCUCCUCUGCUUACAACUAUAAAAGCAGCUUUUCAUGCUCCAAAUCAGAGAUAAAUUGAAAUCGCUGCUGAAGAAAUAAAACACGAGGCUAAUCAAAUUGUAGCACAGGAAGCAGCCUUCAGCCAGUGCAUUUUUUUGAGAACUAUUUUUAGAAUAUAUUUUUAUUUUGUCACUCCAUAUGGGAAGUCAAACCCAUAUGGUUUGGGAGAAUGGAAGGUUGUGCUUUUAUAGAGAUCUCGCAAACCAUCCCCGCUCAGCCACGUACUUAAACAUGUGCUUAAAUCCAAUCGCCUGCGAUGGGACCGAAGCACUCGAACUCCUCGCUGACUGGGGCCUCGGGCCCUGUCUGAGGUUGUAAGAGUAUUGCUCCCUCCUGAGAUGUAAAACCAUUUUAUAUUCGUUAAACCUGUCUCCAGUUAACUGGGCUUUUCUUAAUUAUGACAUUUCUCAUUCAUACACCUUUCCUUUUUUUUUUCUUUUCUUUUUCAUGUCUUCAUUUCUUCUCUGUCGUUCGGAUGCCCUGAUGAAUGCAUUUGGUCCAGUACCAGCCAGGAGGUGAUGCUGAACAUCCGUACCUUCCCUCUCCUGCUUUUCACAGUAAACGUUGCUGCCCUGCAAAUAUCGAGAUUAAUGUGGUACCGUGGCACCUUCUGAGCAUGCUGAUGAUGCAAUAAUUGACUGGAAAAGCACAGCUCAACACCGUGGCCCCAGUAAAGCCAACCAAGAGUUUGCCAGUGACUUCAUUGGAGCCAGAACUUCAUCCCAGGCCAGAGGCAGCUGAUGGAGAGUGCCACGGGCUGGGGACCUGGAGCCAUUUCAAGUCAGUGACGUAGAAGUGAAAAAAUUCCUUGUCAGAUAACCGAUCUCAUCGGCAACCCAGGGUACCCAAUUUUCACUCAGGAUUUUCUACCGAGUUUCCAUUCAUGUUGCAACUAUGUGGAUAAUAUGUUAUGGCGUUAUUCUUAAAAAAGUAAAGAAUUUAUUUCUUUAAGAGACGGGCGAUUUGUAGAAGACAUUUGUGUAAUUUUGCAUUCUAAAUGUGAUUUAUAUUUAUAAAUAAAUUUGCAUAAAA
Molecule: long non-coding RNA, 10312 nt
Organism: Grus americana (Whooping crane)
Lineage: Eukaryota; Metazoa; Chordata; Aves; Gruiformes; Gruidae
Exons: 10
Source: RefSeq, a predicted model, not a curated record